GUUGUUAUGUGGGGAAAUCAGUUGUUCCUUUUUUUGUUUAUUCAUUUUUACUUAUUAGAAGUAAAUGAAAAUUAACUUAGAAAAUGAAUUGAGCAUCUGGGUGAACUUGAUGUAAAGGAAAGGAAUUUUAUUUUAUUUCUUUACUAUUUUGUUUCGUCUUGAUUAAGUCCAUCUGAUAUAUUUAUUCCCCAUAUAAUUAAUGACAAAAGUGUUGAUUCUGUAGGAAUUUUGUACAGCAAAGGAUGAACAAAGCCAAAUGCUAAAGGAAUUCUAUGGAGCAAAGGAUGAACAAAGUCAAAUGCUAAAGAUACAAUGUCAAACGAAAGUCCAUGAAAAAGAAAAAGGUAUGAACAGAAUAAUCAUUGUUUAAACUGUAGUACCAAUUUUAACAAAUACUUUAUUAUGUACUUAUUGUUGACAAUCAAUCUUUGUUGUUUUCUAUGGAACAAAGUCCUGUACUGACGAAUAGCAAUGUCAUUCAAACUAUGAGCAAUGUUGAAGGUAAUUUUAUUAUUAAAAAAAACCUAAUUGAUAUACCUUUUAUGGAAUUUUGUUUUACAUUCGAUUCCUUCAACCAGUAGUACAUAAGGAAGAAUGAGUGUACAAUGCUUUUAUGAUGUACUCGUUAUGGAUUGUUGGUUUAUACAAUAUGUUCCUUCAACCAGUAGUACAAAAGGAAGAAAUGACGUACAAGGUACAUAUCAAUAUUUGCAAAUCUUUUACUUUUACUACAUAUUUAUUCCAUUAUUGUACAACUAAUUUGCAGUUAAAAUGUACAUUUACCUAUGCAUUGUUUCUGUUAUUUCAAAAACAUUAAGUAUUCACGAAGUUGCAAAUUUUGAGUUUGAAAGACAUGAACAAAGCAUUGAUACAUCAAUUCUAUUAAGGAACUAUGGCGAUCAAAGUAAGUAAUGUUCUAUUUGCAACAAUUUUUUAUUAAAAGUGAUAGUGUUACAAUGCUUUUGACAAUGUCAUUGUUUAUUUUUUUUACAUAAUAGGAAGAUGCAACACAAUAUUAAAUUUUGGAGAACCAAACUUGCCCUAUCCAUUCUAUAAUGCUCUUAUGUGGUAUGAAGAAAGAGUUAAAACAAGUCAAAAUAUAAGGUAUUAUACAUUUACAUUGUGUUGCCAAUAAGGUACGGUUCGAUUACCAUUGUUUAGGCCUACCCUUGAAUUUUUACAUUGUGUAUUAGAUUAUGAAGGAGAUAAUAAGAGUAAAAAAUUUAAAGACAAUAAUUGGAGGAAAAAUAGAAAAUAGUGUAAACAAUACAACAAGUCCAUACAUCUUUAAAAUAAACAGUUAAAACCAUCAUCGACUUGGCCUUUUGCUUCCUAUGGUAGGACAAAAACCUAAGUUUGCCUACCUUUAUAUUUAUGAUAUUGAGAAUAAAACUUCAAAUAGAAUCUCAGUUUUUUCACAUUAAAGUACAAGUAAUGUCGUGGAUAGAUCUAUAAUAAAAGGUUUAAUUAAAAUGCUUGAUGAAAAUAACAAAAUAGUUAAAGUUUUUAAGAUAACAAGAGAUAGGUUCAAAAUGUCAAGCCAUAUCCCAAUUCGAUUAAGAUUGUUUGGAGUUAGGAAUAGUAACAAGAGAAUUUAUGUUAGUUCUAAUAGAUUAGAAGUUGCUAGAUUGAUUAUUGGGGAUUUAGGUGAAUUUGAUCAAAAUUGUGACAUUAUUGUUAAACAUAGAGCUAAAGGGCUAAAAAGAAUAAGUGAGCUUCACCUUUUUUUCAUGGCUAUGCAACAUCCAUUAUUAUUUCCUUAUGGAGAGGACAGAUACAUGCUAGAUAUAAAUUAUAUUGACUCUUUGGUAAAAUAAAUGCCAAAAGGAAAAAAACAUGUCAAUAAGAAAAUAUUAUGCUUUUGUUGUUCAACAACGUAAUCCUACACAGAGUAUGUUAUUAAGAGGUGGUAGAUUAUUCAACAGUUUGUUGUUGAUUCAUUCUUUGCAAUGGUUGAGAUGAUAUUGCAGUACAUAAGAAAUAAAAACAAAUAUGAGGUCGAAACUUUACAAAAGAUUGAAAGACGCUGUGUUAAGAGGUGAUAUACAAGGACAAACAAUUGGAAACAUGAAAUCUUACCUGCAACAUUUACGAGAAGUCUUCGAUAUCUAUUUCAAAAUUAUCAAGACAUAUUGUGGUAAUUUGUUAGUACAAUGGUUGUUCAGAUUUGUUCAUCACAUUCACUUGUAAUGCAAAAUGGCUAGAAAU
This is a long non-coding RNA of Theobroma umbraticum, 2208 nucleotides long. RefSeq lists it as uncharacterized. The record is from RefSeq and is a predicted model, not a curated record. NCBI's taxonomy places the organism in Eukaryota, Viridiplantae, Streptophyta, Magnoliopsida, Malvales, Malvaceae.